ACAGAAGGAGCUCUGUGUAAAUUUGUUGAAUUAAGAAAUGAAAGCUGGCUGGGCACAGUGGCUAAUGCCUGAAGCCCACCUCUGAGGUCUGCCAGCCUGGGUACCCAUCGGCUCUCAGGUGCGCCCCCUGAGGGUGCAGGACUGCAGCGCGGCCGCACGGGGGCAGCAGACACCGGGGCGCGCCUGGGCGCCCCGCGCUAGUGGGUGGAGAGUUCCCAAAGACUCGCUUGGUCCCCAAGCCCUGCGAGGCCGGUUUCCCGGUAACA
RNAcentral lists this long non-coding RNA (266 nucleotides) under Homo sapiens (human). RNAcentral describes it as "non-protein coding lnc-METTL27-1:1". Lineage: Eukaryota; Metazoa; Chordata; Mammalia; Primates; Hominidae. The record is from RNAcentral.